Helianthus annuus (common sunflower) is the source of this 229-nucleotide long non-coding RNA. RefSeq lists it as uncharacterized. NCBI's taxonomy places the organism in Eukaryota, Viridiplantae, Streptophyta, Magnoliopsida, Asterales, Asteraceae. The transcript is spliced from 2 exons. The record is from RefSeq and is a predicted model, not a curated record.
AAAGCCUUACAUUUUAAAAGACGACAAAUAUGAGACAAAGUACAAGACUGACUUAAAAGAGGGAACUCAAUUUACUACGGGAAAGGUUUUGGUAACUCGAAGGAUAUGCAUCUUCAAAGGGACUCGACUAUCUUUAAAUUGUGUAUCCACUGUAUCACUAAUUUAUGUAACAUGAGACUUUGUAUUUUAUUUUAUUUGUACACUUAAUAUUUAUCUUAAUAGUUUUCUC